GACGAACGCUGGCGGCGUGCUUAACACAUGCAAGUCGAGCGGAAAGGCCACUUCGGUGGUACUCGAGCGGCGAACGGGUGAGUAACCCGUGAGUAAUCUGCCCCUCACUUUGGGAUAGCCACCGGAAACGGUGAUUAAUACCGGAUAUGACCAUAUGUCGCAUGGCGUGUGGUGGAAAGUUUUUCGGUGAGGGAUGUGCUCGCGGCCUAUCAGCUUGAUGGUGAGGUAAUGGCUCACCAUGGCUUCGACGGGUAGCCGGCCUGAGAGGGUGACCGGUCACACUGGGACUGAGACACGGCCCAGACUCCUACGGGAGGCAGCAGUGGGGAAUAUUGGACAAUGGGCGGAAGCCUGAUCCAGCAACGCCGCGUGAGGGAUGACGGCCUUCGGGUUGUAAACCUCUUUCAGUACCGACGAAGCGCAAGUGACGGUAGGUACAGAAGAAGCACCGGCCAACUACGUG
This 463-nucleotide ribosomal RNA is filed under the name uncultured bacterium. RNAcentral describes it as "partial 16S ribosomal RNA". It matches the Rfam family "Bacterial small subunit ribosomal RNA", at positions 28 to 507 of the family's 1533-position model. The record is from RNAcentral.